RNAcentral lists this long non-coding RNA (203 nucleotides) under Elaeis guineensis (African oil palm). RNAcentral's name for it is "long non-coding RNA (EGUI_LNC028810)". Lineage: Eukaryota; Viridiplantae; Streptophyta; Magnoliopsida; Arecales; Arecaceae. The record is from RNAcentral.
AGGUGGUGGCUUGUCCUCGACCAACUCGAAAUUCUCCAGAUCCUCACAUUCCCAAAUAAUAAAAUAUCAGUGUUCCAAAUUGCUGAGGAUAAAUAGUAGAAACUCAAGGGGGAAAAAAAAAAAAAAAUCUAAUGGUUCGGAGGAACAGAGAGUUUUAGUAUCAGGGAGAGAAAUCCAGUUUGAGGAGUCCGCCCAUCCAGCAC